UACGUAGGGUGCGAGCGUUAAUCGGAAUUACUGGGCGUAAAGCGUGCGCAGGCGGUUUUGUAAGACAGAGGUGAAAUCCCCGGGCUUAACCUGGGAACUGCCUUUGUGACUGCAAGGCUUGAGUGCGGCAGAGGGGGAUGGAAUUCCUAGUGUAGAGGUGAAAUUCGUAGAUAUUAGGAAGAACACCGGUGGCGAAGGCGGCCCACUGGUCCGGUACUGACGCUGAGGUGCGAAAGCGUGGGGAGCAAACAGG
Molecule: ribosomal RNA, 253 nt
Filed under: uncultured bacterium
Lineage: Bacteria
Description: partial 16S ribosomal RNA
Rfam family: Bacterial small subunit ribosomal RNA
Source: RNAcentral